This 699-nucleotide long non-coding RNA is filed under the name Olea europaea subsp. europaea. Lineage: Eukaryota; Viridiplantae; Streptophyta; Magnoliopsida; Lamiales; Oleaceae. The record is from RNAcentral.
CGCCUAUGGAAAUGUGGACUGGUAAACCAACUGAUUAUUCUCACUUACAUGUGUUUGGAAGUCCUGUGUAUGUUAUGUACAACACCCAAGAAACAUCAAAGUUAGAUCCAAAAUCCAGAAAAUGUAUUUUCUUAGGAUAUGCUAAUGGAGUGAAGGGGUACCGCCUGUGAGAUCCCACUGCCCACAAAGUGAUAAUCAGUAGAGAUGUCAUAUUUGCGGAAGGCAAAAUGUAAGAAAAAGAAAAUGAUAGCAUUUCAAAAGAAAAACCAGAGACUACUACAGUCGAAGUUAGAGACGAACGAGAAGUUAUAGAUACUUUUGAAGCAACACUAGAGCACGAAGAACAAGCUGAAUCUAGUGCUCCAGAUGUUCGACGAUCAACACGGAAGAGAAGAGAACCGGCUUGGCACUCAGAUUAUAUUAUGGCGGGCAAUGUUGCAUACUGCUUACUGACAGAAGAUGGAGAGCCAUCAACUUUCCAUGAGACUAUAAAUAGUCAAGAAGUUUCUCUGUGGAUGGCAGCAAUGCAAGAAGAAAUUGAAGCUCUUCAAAAGAACAAGACAUGGGAUCUUGUUCCACUACCACAAGGAAGGAAGGCCAUUGGAAAUAAAUGGGUCUACAAGAUCAAACGAGAUGGCAAUGACCAAGUGGAGCGGUAUCGUGCGAGACUGGUGGUAAAGGGAUAUGCUCAGAAAGAAG